GUGCUAGUUUCAGCAGCACAUAUACUAAAAUUGGAAUGAUGCAGAGAAGAUUAGUAUGUCCCCUGCAUAAGGAUGACAUGCAAUUUCAUGAAGUGUUUCAUAUUUUA
Small nuclear RNA from Papio anubis (olive baboon), 107 nucleotides. The record is from Ensembl. Lineage: Eukaryota; Metazoa; Chordata; Mammalia; Primates; Cercopithecidae.